This 913-nucleotide long non-coding RNA is filed under the name Salvia miltiorrhiza (redroot sage). RNAcentral describes it as "long non-coding RNA (SMIL_LNC004760)". The record is from RNAcentral. Lineage: Eukaryota; Viridiplantae; Streptophyta; Magnoliopsida; Lamiales; Lamiaceae.
UUUGUGUUGAUACAGUUGAUUCUGAAGAAACUGAAAGAGAAAAAAGUGAAACAGAAGAAAGUGAAAGAAGCAAACAGUUGUGUUUGAGGUGCCUCAAAAGAAUUAGGAGGUGAAGCAAGCGAUCUAGUGAAGAAGGAAUAAGUGAGUAUCCAUUUUCUCCAUCAUGACUUGCUCAACCUCGUUUCAUAAUUUUUUUUGUAAUUUCCAUAUAUAAUCUUUGUUUGAACUUUAGUUGAUAGGAUUAUUAUGUCUAGGAUUGAAGAAAAUGCAUGUUUGGAUACCAAUUUGUUUCACAAUUGAUAUGAUUCUGACAAAAAUUCAGAUAGCAUUGUUGAAUCCAAUCCCAGCAAAAAGGGAAGGAAAGAAUAAUAAGAAUAAAAACAAGCCAAAGAAAGGGAAAGAGGGUAAGACAAAUCGGUAGCCAGCUUUUUCCAUUUCCGCUUGGUCGAUGAUUUAGUAUUUGAACGCAUCUCGAAAUCAGUUGAGUGUCUCAACUGAUUGUCGAGUCGAGCUUGAGCUCAGCUUAUACUUCAAUCAAUUGGCUUACAAGGCUUAUUUUUAGCUAAGUUGAAUCCAAGCUUGAGCUUAGAUUGGCCUACUGGGGUAACUGUAAAGCUCCUAUUGAGCCAUUUUGAGUUUUGUUAAACAUUUUCUAAUAGAAUCAAAUAAAUUUCAAGAUGACAUGUGUCUAUUGUUCUGUUUUUAUGAUUUUUUUCUUCAAAAGCUAUUAAUUUUAUUUCAUUAUAUCCAACACUCCAGAGUCCAGCUUUAUUGCAGGUUGUUUAUUGUUUUAACUCCAUAGAUUAAUCAUUGGUUGCAGUGAGUAUGAUUCUAAAGCCAUGGCAAAGAUAAGGGAGCAUUUGAAGAGCAUGGAGGCGAGGCGGCUUCAACUAGAAGCGCUAACGAGCUUGCU